This 301-nucleotide ribosomal RNA is filed under the name uncultured bacterium. RNAcentral describes it as "partial 16S ribosomal RNA". It matches the Rfam family "Bacterial small subunit ribosomal RNA", at positions 509 to 807 of the family's 1533-position model. The record is from RNAcentral.
CAGUAGCCACGGUAAUACAGAGGGUGCGAGCGUUAAUCGGAUUUACUGGGCGUAAAGCGUGCGUAGGCGGCUUUUUAAGUCGGAUGUGAAAUCCCUGAGCUUAACUUAGGAAUUGCAUUCGAUACUGGGAAGCUAGAGUAUGGGAGAGGAUGGUAGAAUUCCAGGUGUAGCGGUGAAAUGCGUAGAGAUCUGGAGGAAUACCGAUGGCGAAGGCAGCCAUCUGGCCUAAUACUGACGCUGAGGAGCGAAAGUGUGGGGAGCGAACAGGAUUAGAUACCCCCGUAGUCCCUGUCUCUUAUAC